Molecule: ribosomal RNA, 253 nt
Filed under: uncultured bacterium
Lineage: Bacteria
Description: partial 16S ribosomal RNA
Rfam family: Bacterial small subunit ribosomal RNA
Source: RNAcentral
UACGGAGGGUGCAAGCGUUGUUCGGAAUCACUGGGCGUAAAGCGCAUGUAGGCGGUUAUAUAAGUUUUAUGUGAAAGCCCUUGGCUAAACUAAGGAAGUGCAUGAAAGACUGUAUGGCUAGAGUGUAGGAGAGGAAGGUGGAAUUCCCGGUGUAGAGGUGAAAUUCGUAGAUAUCGGGAGGAACACCAGAAGCGAAGGCGGCCUUCUGGACUGCAACUGACGCUAAGAUGCGAAAGUGUGGGGAGCAAACAGG